ACUCGUGAAUGGCAUCACAAGAUGACUAUUUCACUGCAACGCAGAAUUCCUCAGCUUUAUUUGCAUCUUCUAUUUUUGGCAGGUUUCCAACAAAUGCAUGAUACUUAGAUAAACUCUUGGAGUCACAUAUGUCAUCAGUCACACAUUUUGGGGUGUUAAUCUCCUAGGACAAGGAGGUCAAAUAUGUAAGAAGAAUUGUUCUACUCUGCACAGCUCUGUCCUGCACGAGGAGCCAUCAAUGAUUUUGUUGUGGUUAUUACAUAUGAAAAUGGGAGAAAACAACAGCAUCUUUCACACUCAAAUGUAAAGCAGAAGUGAUAGGAAAGGUUUAGUUUCAGUAACCUUUGCUGCUUCAGCUAUUUGCACUAAUGGGGUUUUUCUGCUUCAGAGUAUCUUCCCAGUUGGAGAGGCCAGCCUUCCUGAAAGGGAGAGUGGACAGGUUGAUCCUGCACUUCUGGACUUCUUCCUCUACCAGAAUAUCUCUUAACCUUAUUAACUUAGGCUCUUAUUAAAGGGAGCUCUGUGCAGCAGUGUGC
RNAcentral lists this long non-coding RNA (536 nucleotides) under Parus major (Great Tit). RNAcentral's name for it is "lncRNA (ENSPMJG00000009203.1)". The record is from RNAcentral. Lineage: Eukaryota; Metazoa; Chordata; Aves; Passeriformes; Paridae.